This 1200-nucleotide ribosomal RNA is filed under the name 'Echinochloa crus-galli' phyllody phytoplasma. RNAcentral's name for it is "bacterial SSU rRNA". It matches the Rfam family "Bacterial small subunit ribosomal RNA", at positions 173 to 1373 of the family's 1533-position model. Lineage: Bacteria; Bacillati; Mycoplasmatota; Mollicutes; Acholeplasmatales; Acholeplasmataceae. The record is from RNAcentral.
AUAGGAGACAAGAAGGCAUCUUUUUGUUUUUAAAAGACCUAGCAAUAGGUAUGCUUAGGGAGGAGCUUGCGUCACAUUAGUUAGUUGGUGGGGUAAAGGCUUACCAAGACUAUGAUGUGUAGCCGGGCUGAGAGGUUGAACGGCCACAUUGGGACUGAGACACGGCCCAAACUCCUACGGGGGGCAGCAGUAGGGAAUUUUCGGCAAUGGAGGAAACUCUGACCGAGCAACGCCGCGUGAACGAUGAAGUAUUUCGGUACGUAAAGUUCUUUUAUUAGGGAAGAAUAAAUGAUGGAAAAAUCAUUCUGACGGUACCUAAUGAAUAAGCCCCGGCUAACUAUGUGCCAGCAGCCGCGGUAAUACAUAGGGGGCAAGCGUUAUCUGGAAUUAUUGGGCGUAAAGGGUGCGUAGGCGGUUAAAUAAGUUUAUGGUCUAAGUGCAAUGCUUAACAUUGUGAUGCUAUAAAAACUGUUUAGCUAGAGUAAGAUAGAGGCAAGUGGAAUUCCAUGUGUAGUGGUAAAAUGCGUAAAUAUAUGGAGGAACACCAGUAGCGAAGGCGGCUUGCUGGGUCUUUACUGACGCUGAGGCACGAAAGCGUGGGGAGCAAACAGGAUUAGAUACCCUGGUAGUCCACGCCGUAAACGAUGAGUACUAAAUGUUGGGUAAAACCAGUGUUGAAGUUAACACAUUAAGUACUCCGCCUGAGUAGUACGUACGCAAGUAUGAAACUUAAAGGAAUUGACGGGACUCCGCACAAGCGGUGGAUCAUGUUGUUUAAUUCGAAGGUACCCGAAAAACCUCACCAGGUCUUGACAUGCUUCUGCAAAGCUGUAGAAACACAGUGGAGGUUAUCAGUUGCACAGGUGGUGCAUGGUUGUCGUCAGCUCGUGUCGUGAGAUGUUGGGUUAAGUCCCGCAACGAGCGCAACCCUUAUUGUUAGUUGCCAGCACGUAAUGGUGGGGACUUUAGCAAGACUGCCAGUGAUAAAUUGGAGGAAGGUGGGGACGACGUCAAAUCAUCAUGCCCCUUAUGACCUGGGCUACAAACGUGAUACAAUGGCUGUUACAAAGGGUAGCUGAAACGCAAGUUUUUGGCGAAUCUCAAAAAAACAGUCUCAGUUCGGAUUGAAGUCUGCAACUCGACUUCAUGAAGUUGGAAUCGCUAGUAAUCGCGAAUCAGCAUGUCGCGGUGAAUACGUUC